CUCCCUUCCAAGUGUUGGUGCAAUGAAACUGUGACUGUGUGCCAGUCUGUAUUACAGUGCUGUGUUUUUCCUUUUACAGAGGGCUCGACGCCAUACUGGAUCUUAAAGAACAGCUGGGGAACAGAUUGGGGGGAGAAGGGCUAUGUUCGCAUCUCCAGAGGGAGUAACGUCUGUGAGAUAAAUAAAUACGCAAUGUCAGCUGUCGUGUGAGGGAUGGAUAGCCAAUCUUCGUCAACCUCAGCGCUUUCAGCUUCUGGGAACAAGAGGGCUAUUUUCGGGGUACCCCUGCAAGGGCUGGGGUAUUAGGCCUGCUCCUGCUGACACCUCCCAGCCUGCACAAACAGGCCCCUCCCAGUCUCCAGCCGGCCCAUAGGAUUCGCCUGCCGCACAUUCCAGACUCAUCACCUGCAGCCUAUUUAGCCCUCCGCUCUCAUCCGCAGUCCCUGUUCACUCACGGAACAAGUUGGCCUCAGACAGCCGCUCCUAGCUUUCAUUCUGCUUGCUGAAAGUUCACCUUGUUGCCUGUUGCGUUGAGUUUCUGCUCUCUCAUGUGCAGUGGCCCCUUGUGGCUUGUUACUUUGCGGUCUAUUAUUAAAGCUAUCAUUGACCGCUGAA
This is a long non-coding RNA of Hypanus sabinus (Atlantic stingray), 615 nucleotides long. RefSeq lists it as uncharacterized. The transcript has 2 exons. Lineage: Eukaryota; Metazoa; Chordata; Chondrichthyes; Myliobatiformes; Dasyatidae. The record is from RefSeq and is a predicted model, not a curated record.